Molecule: transfer RNA, 70 nt
Filed under: Nothobranchius vosseleri
Lineage: Eukaryota; Metazoa; Chordata; Actinopteri; Cyprinodontiformes; Nothobranchiidae
Description: tRNA-Arg
Rfam family: tRNA
About the family: Transfer RNA (tRNA) molecules are approximately 80 nucleotides in length.
Source: RNAcentral
AGGUUAUUAGUUUAAUAAAAACAUUUGNGUUUCGACCCAAAAAUUUGUGGUUAAACCCCACAAUAAACUU